This 68-nucleotide transfer RNA is filed under the name Entemnotrochus rumphii. RNAcentral describes it as "tRNA-Leu". It matches the Rfam family "tRNA". From Rfam's summary of the family: Transfer RNA (tRNA) molecules are approximately 80 nucleotides in length. Their secondary structure includes four short double-helical elements and three loops (D, anti-codon, and T loops). The record is from RNAcentral. Lineage: Eukaryota; Metazoa; Mollusca; Gastropoda; Pleurotomariida; Pleurotomariidae.
GCUAGGUUGGCAGAAUAGUGUAUUUGAUUUAGAAUCAGGUUAAAUAGGUGAAAUUCCUUUACUUAGUA